This 691-nucleotide long non-coding RNA is filed under the name Zonotrichia albicollis (white-throated sparrow). Its description in RNAcentral is "lncRNA (ENSZALG00000005033.1)". The record is from RNAcentral. Lineage: Eukaryota; Metazoa; Chordata; Aves; Passeriformes; Passerellidae.
AUCCCUUCAAAGCUCUCAGGCAGUUUUACUUGAGCACAGGGAAGUUUGAGUGUUUAGAUCAGAAAGCCCAAGCUUGCUCUCUGCUGUCACUGAGGAGCUUUGAAUGGCUGCAUUGUGAGGCACUGACCAUAAUGUCCUAGCUGGCCAUUGAUCUUUUCAGACACAUUCUUCUAACUGGGGCAUCCUCGUGGCACGAUGAGCAGAAUAAUAAUUGAGGAAGAAAGCAUACUAAAUCAUCCAAAGGCAGCUCCCCUGGUCUCCACGAUGGUUGGAGCAGGGCAGAGGUUUUCUGAGAGGAGCAGGUGAGUGAGGGGUGCAGCAGCAAAACCUUGUGGUGGAGAGGAAACCUGAGCACCUGAGAAUCCCUGCAUGGAGGGGGGACAGCGCAUGUUUGGCAUUCCUGUUGGUGUUUUCUUGGACAGCAGGGAGAGGCUGGAACAGACACUGACAGUACCAAAAGAGCAUCUGUCUGCUCCUCUUCCUCUGGAAGCUGCAGGCUGCACUGGAGAAGUCCAAGGGUGAGAGAAGCUGCAAAUGGAGAAGGGAAAGGACAUCUGAGAGUCUUCACUAAAUAAUCGGAAGACUGAUGGAUUUCAGACAAAGACAGCAGUUAUAUAAUGCAUUCCUCCUCUGUGAGUAAUCAUAUGCAAAGAUUGACAUGUUUGUGAGUGUUCCCAAAACUGAUCCUGGG